GGGUUGUGAGGUUAAGCGACUAAGCGUACACGGUGGAUGCCCUGGCAGUCAGAGGCGAUGAAGGACGUGCUAAUCUGCGAUAAGCGCCGGUAAGGUGAUAUGAACCGUUAUAACCGGCGAUUUCCGAAUGGGGAAACCCAGUGUGACUCGUCACACUAUCAUUAACUGAAUCCAUAGGUUAAUGAGGCGAACCGGGGGAACUGAAACAUCUAAGUACCCCGAGGAAAAGAAAUCAACCGAGAUUCCCCCAGUAGCGGCGAGCGAACGGGGAGGAGCCCAGAGCCUGAAUCAGCAUGUGUGUUAGUGGAAGCGUCUGGAAAGGCGCGCGAUACAGGGUGACAGCCCCGUACACAAAAGCGCAUGUGCUGUGAGCUCGAUGAGUAGGGCGGGACACGUGGUAUCCUGUCUGAAUAUGGGGGGACCAUCCUCCAAGGCUAAAUACUCCUGACUGACCGAUAGUGAACCAGUACCGUGAGGGAAAGGCGAAAAGAACCCCGGCGAGGGGAGUGAAAAAGAACCUGAAACCGUGUACGUACAAGCAGUGGGAGCCCCACCACUAAGCCAGUGGUGAACUCCACAUACGCAUCCUUUGCUGAGGAUACGGUUAACGGAGCGAAAGCGACGUUCAACCGCAAAAGAAGCAGAGGGGGCUUAGUGGUGGGGUGACUGCGUACCUUUUGUAUAAUGGGUCAGCGACUUAUAUUCUGUAGCAAGGUUAACCGAAUAGGGGAGCCGGAGGGAAACCGAGUCUUAACCGGGCGUUAAGUUGCAGGGUAUAGACCCGAAACCCGGUGAUCUAGCCAUGGGCAGGUUGAAGGUUGGGUAACACUAACUGGAGGACCGAACCGACUAAUGUUGAAAAAUUAGCGGAUGACCUGUGGCUGGGGGUGAAAGGCCAAUCAAACCGGGAGAUAGCUGGUUCUCCCCGAAAGCUAUUUAGGUAGCGCCUCGUGAAUUCAUCUCCGGGGGUAGAGCACUGUUUCGGCUAGGGGGCCAUCCCGGCUUACCAACCCGAUGCAAACUGCGAAUACCGGAGAAUGUUAUCACGGGAGACACACGGCGGGUGCUAACGUCCGUCGUGAAGAGGGAAACAACCCAGACCGCCAGCUAAGGUCCCAAAGUCAUGGUUAAGUGGGAAACGAUGUGGGAAGGCCCAGACAGCCAGGAUGUUGGCUUAGAAGCAGCCAUCAUUUAAAGAAAGCGUAAUAGCUCACUGAUCGAGUCGGCCUGCGCGGAAGAUGUAACGGGGCUAAACCAUGCACCGAAGCUGCGGCAGCGAACGUAUCACUUAAAGCGAUUCAGCGGGUUACGAUUGACGGAGCGAAGCGACGUCAAAGCGUAUACAAAGUCGAGUCGGUUUAAGGAUACGUUCGUUGGGUAGGGGAGCGUUCUGUAAGCCUGUGAAGGUGGCCUGUGAGGGUUGCUGGAGGUAUCAGAAG
This 1439-nucleotide ribosomal RNA is filed under the name Salmonella enterica. RNAcentral describes it as "partial 23S ribosomal RNA". It matches the Rfam family "Bacterial large subunit ribosomal RNA", at positions 1 to 1288 of the family's 2925-position model. Lineage: Bacteria; Pseudomonadati; Pseudomonadota; Gammaproteobacteria; Enterobacterales; Enterobacteriaceae. The record is from RNAcentral.